CAUGCCUUAAGUUUCAUACUUAAGGGAAAAGCUUAAGGUUCUUUAUGCAACCGGGCACAGAGGCUAUAUAAGCAGCGGUCCGCUCACAUCACGCGCACAGCCGGACUCCCUUUGACUGAGUGGACAUCGCUUGACGGAAGAGCUUUUCUCAGGUUGUCCUCCAAUUGUUGUAAGUGAUCAAUCUAGCCAUUCUGCAUCUUGGACUUGCCAUAUUCAACACACUGUAGCUGCUGCACCCCAAAUACUCCACAGCAUUGAGCAUCUAUGGCUUUAUUUAUCAAGAUCAUCUGAAAAGAGUGCAUCUGUGCCAUUUUGCUGGAUGGAGAACCAGAGACGUUUAUAAACAGAUGGCAUGGUGGAAGAAGCAAGCAGGCCCUACAACAAUAACAACAACAACAACAACAACAAAAAUCUUUCUGAGGUAUGCUACAAAUGUUGUUA
Labeo rohita (rohu) is the source of this 441-nucleotide long non-coding RNA. RefSeq lists it as uncharacterized. Lineage: Eukaryota; Metazoa; Chordata; Actinopteri; Cypriniformes; Cyprinidae. The transcript is spliced from 5 exons. The record is from RefSeq and is a predicted model, not a curated record.